UCCCCCUUCUCAGUGGGAUGUUAGUAUUGCAGAGAUGCUUUCUCUCACAGGCAGCAGCUGUUUGCACAGCACAUCAGGUGAGCUUCUGUCACCUUAUUUUGAAUAGCGUUGCUGAAGGACCGUUUAUUUCUGGAGAAAACAUGGACACUUCCAGUGACCUGAUGCUGGCUCAGAUGCUACAGAUGGAAUUUGACAGAGAAUACGAUGCACAGCUUAGGCGUGAAGAAAAGAAGUUCAACGGUGACAGCAAAGGUACCAGACCUCUGUCACUCUGACAUUGCCACUGGGUGGUAGGAAAUGCCUGUAUACAUUCCUGAAUAAACAGCACCCGUUUUUACCUUU
Molecule: long non-coding RNA, 342 nt
Filed under: Rattus norvegicus (Norway rat)
Lineage: Eukaryota; Metazoa; Chordata; Mammalia; Rodentia; Muridae
Description: long non-coding RNA NONRATT013216
Source: RNAcentral